GAUGAACGCUGGCGGCGUGCCUAAUACAUGCAAGUCGAGCGAACAGAUCAGGAGCUUGCUCCUUUGACGUUAGCGGCGGACGGGUGAGUAACACGUGGGAAACCUACCUAUAAGACUGGAAUAACUCCGGGAAACCGGGGCUAAUGCCGGAUAACAUGUUGAACCGCAUGGUUCUACAGUGAAAGGCGGCUUUGCUGUCACUUAUAGAUGGACCCGCGCCGUAUUAGCUAGUUGGUGAGGUAACGGCUCACCAAGGCAACGAGACGUAGCCGACCUGAGAGGGUGAUCGGCCACACUGGAACGGAGACACGGUCCAGACUCCUACGGGAGGCAGCAGUAGGGAAUCUUCCGCAAUGGGCGAAAGCCUGACGGAGCAACGCCGCGUGAGUGAUGAAGGUCUUCGGAUCGUAAAACUCUGUUAUUAGGGAAGAACAAAUGCGUAAGUAACUGUGCGCGUCUUGACGGUACCUAAUCAGAAAGCCACGGCUAACUACGUG
This 497-nucleotide ribosomal RNA is filed under the name uncultured bacterium. RNAcentral's name for it is "partial 16S ribosomal RNA". It matches the Rfam family "Bacterial small subunit ribosomal RNA", at positions 28 to 507 of the family's 1533-position model. The record is from RNAcentral.